RNAcentral lists this non-coding RNA (24 nucleotides) under Arabidopsis thaliana (thale cress). Lineage: Eukaryota; Viridiplantae; Streptophyta; Magnoliopsida; Brassicales; Brassicaceae. The record is from RNAcentral.
AUCACCAUCAAGGGCAAUUUCGUC